Molecule: non-coding RNA, 77 nt
Filed under: Nitrospirota bacterium
Lineage: Bacteria; Pseudomonadati; Nitrospirota
Description: Nitrospirae bacterium c-di-GMP sequence
Rfam family: c-di-GMP-I-GGC riboswitch aptamer
Source: RNAcentral
UCCGAAAAAGGUAAACCCAUUGAGAGGUGGGGGCGCAAAGCCGACGGGUCCUGUGAAGGAUGGCCGGGCUGCCGGAG